RNAcentral lists this ribosomal RNA (256 nucleotides) under Escherichia coli. RNAcentral's name for it is "partial 23S ribosomal RNA". It matches the Rfam family "Bacterial large subunit ribosomal RNA", at positions 1 to 257 of the family's 2925-position model. The record is from RNAcentral. RNAcentral also lists the same sequence under 1 other name. Lineage: Bacteria; Pseudomonadati; Pseudomonadota; Gammaproteobacteria; Enterobacterales; Enterobacteriaceae.
GGUUAAGCGACUAAGCGUACACGGUGGAUGCCCUGGCAGUCAGAGGCGAUGAAGGACGUGCUAAUCUGCGAUAAGCGUCGGUAAGGUGAUAUGAACCGUUAUAACCGGCGAUUUCCGAAUGGGGAAACCCAGUGUGAUUCGUCACACUAUCAUUAACUGAAUCCAUAGGUUAAUGAGGCGAACCGGGGGAACUGAAACAUCUAAGUACCCCGAGGAAAAGAAAUCAACCGAGAUUCCCCCAGUAGCGGCGAGCGAA